Oncorhynchus keta (chum salmon) is the source of this 1702-nucleotide long non-coding RNA. RefSeq lists it as uncharacterized. The record is from RefSeq and is a predicted model, not a curated record. Lineage: Eukaryota; Metazoa; Chordata; Actinopteri; Salmoniformes; Salmonidae. The transcript is spliced from 2 exons.
UCUGGGCACCUUUCUUCAGAGCUGGAUGUCAUGUUGCUGCCUCUAAAUAUUCCAUCCAUCCAACAAUAUGUUCAGUACCAUGCUGUAUGAUCCUGCCCUUUGGUACAGACCUGCUAAGUACCACAAAUGGUAAUAAUGUUAGUUAUUGUGAUCAUUACCUAACAUGUUAAAUAAUGUUACAAUGUUUUACUGAAAUCAGUAUGUAUAUAAUCUACUGCAACUAUUUGUUUUGUAUUACAUGUUUACAUUUUCUAUAAAAACAUUUUAAGAAAGAAUUACAGGAAAGGAACUAGUUAUUAUGGUUCUCAGUAUACUGGUUGGACAGGUUGGUAUAGAAAGGAACUAGUUAUUAUGGUUCUCAGUAUACUGGUUGGACAGGUUGGUAUAGAAAGGAACUAGUUAUUAUGGUUCUCAGUAUACUGGUUGGACAGGUUGGUACAGAAAGGAACUAGUUAUUAUGGUUCUCAGUAUACUGGUUGGACAGGUUGGUAUAGAAAGGAACUAGUUAUUAUGGUUCUCAGUAUACUGGUUGGACAGGUUGGUACAGAAAGGAACUAGUUAUUAUGGUUCUCAGUAUACUGAUUGGACAGGUUGGUACAGAAAGGAACUAGUUAUUAUGGUUCUCAGUAUACUGAUUGGACAGGUUGGUACAGAAAGGAACUAGUUAUUAUGGUUCUCAGUAUACUGAUUGGACAGGUUGGUACAGAAAGGAACUAGUUAUUAUGGUUCUCAGUAUACUGAUUGGACAGGUUGGUACAGAAAGGAACUAGUUAUUAUGGUUCUCAGUAUACUGAUUGGACAGGUUGGUACAGAAAGGAACUAGUUAUUAUGGUUCUCAGUAUACUGGUUGGACAGGUUGGUACAGAAAGGAACUAGUUAUUAUGGUUCUCAGUAUACUGAUUGGACAGGUUGGUACAGAAAGGAACUAGUUAUUAUGGUUCUCAGUAUACUGGUUGGACAGGUUGGUACAGAAAGGAACUAGUUAUUAUGGUUCUCAGUAUACUGGUUGGACAGGUUGGUACAGAAAGGAACUAGUUAUUAUGGUUCUCAGUAUACUGGUUGGACAGGUUGGUACAGAAAGGAACUAGUUAUUAUGGUUCUCAGUAUACUGGUUGGACAGGUUGGUACAGAAAGGAACUAGUUAUUAUGGUUCUCAGUAUACUGGUUGGACAGGUUGGUACAGAAAGGAACUAGUUAUUAUGGUUCUCAGUAUACUGAUUGGACAGGUUGGUACAGAAAGGAACUAGUUAUUAUGGUUCUCAGUAUACUGGUUGGACAGGUUGGUACAGAAAGGAACUAGUUAUUAUGGUUCUCAGUAUACUGGUUGGACAGGUUGGUAUAGAAAGGAACUAGUUAUUAUGGUUCUCAGUAUACUGAUUGGACAGGUUGGUACAGAAAGGAACUAGUUAUUAUGGUUCUCAGUAUACUGGUUGGACAGGUUGGUACAGAAAGGAACUAGUUAUUAUGGUUCUCAGUAUACUGAUUGGACAGGUUGGUACAGAAAGGAACUAGUUAUUAUGGUUCUCAGUAUACUGGUUGGACAGGUUGGUACAGAAAGGGACUUGUAAGACCCUGCUUAUUUUCCCACGAAGGUUGAAUAGGCAGAGAGCUCUGUAAAUAUUGAACAACAUUUUGUUAUUCUUUUGUCUCUUUUUUUUGGUGCAUUUAAAUAUAAAAGUGGUUUGACUGCUCUGGGGGAUAA